UCCCUUUUUCCAUCUCCCUCUUCAAAAAAAAAAAAAAGAAAAAAAAGAAACUUAGAUACAUACAAGACUAAAAAGAAAAGCUUUGUGUUUCUCUUUUUUUCUCCCCAAAACUUAAGUUGAAAUGCAUAUAACCAAUGAAGAAGCUGGCACGUUUUCAUCAUUUAAUUUAUUUCAGCAUCUAAUUUGUUUUGAGUUUUAAAUUAUAUACACCGUUACUGUAAAUAAUUUUUUUUACUCUAUUAGGAUUUAGGUCACUCAAAUGAUAUCUACAUAUAACUUGUUAGCCUUCAUAAAAUGUGAGAUUUGUAAUCUUGACACUAAGACAACCAGUAAAGAUAAUUUAAUGAUCCUGUAUUAGUAUGAUCCUGAUUUGGUUUCCGAUGCUAUCAAAAUCUGCAAGUAUUUGGCACCAUUAGGGCCGUACACUUCAAUAGUGCUUUCUGAAAAGACCAUUUCCGUGCAGAAAAUUAUGGAGAUGAUGAGGAUCCUAAUAUAGAAAAAAAGGUAUUUUUAUUCCUCUUGCCUAACGAAUAUAGCAGGAUUUAUAGUGCUAGUGGAAAGAUUUCGGAAUAUUUUUUUAAAAAAAAAACAUUAAGAAAAAUUUAUUUAUUAGGGGACAUAAAUCCUAACUUCUUAUGGGUUGUUUGGUGGUGGAAUAAGGGAACAAUCUUGGAAUAAAAUAUAAAAUUAUUUUAUCUCGUAUUUAGUAAAUGGUGAGAUUAUCUAUCUUAUAUCCCAGAUAUUCUUGUCUAUCACAUCCUGAUAACCAAACGAUCCCUUAAAGCUUCGAUGUGGGGUGAACAGCUUCACUCCUUUACAAUUGAAGAGUUGAUCAUUUGAAAAUCCUAUACAAAUAACUAUCCCGAAAUAGACUAAACUAAAGCUAAUAGCAUAAUUAAAUGAGGGUAUUCCUCCUUUACCAAAAGGAUCUAACAUUAAGUUAAGAGAGUUAUCCAUGACCAAUUUAAAAACAUUUUUUUUUUUGGAAUGAGCAGUUAGAAACAAUGUAAAAAUCCUACAAAAUGGAAGUCUUUAUGCCAACGGUCCAACUACUUAUACUUUUGACUGUGCCUUCAGGACGGACAAUUUCAAUCUCUUUUAUCUAGUUAAGUUACAAACAUUUUCUUAGUUCUACGUAUUUUGCAACCUUGUCUUAAUUUUCUUUUCAAGAUAUUGAAUGGUAGUAGUACUUUAAAUUUAAGAACUUUCUCUAAGAAGCAAGUGCAGUCAACUAUAAGGACUUUUUCAACUAUCCCGUGUAUAAAAAUUUAAUACUCCCAACUUUCUUAUGAGCUGUUGGGCAUGAAAAUAUUUCAAUAAUUAUUAUAUGUAUGUAAAACUUGACCAAGUCAUUUCUCUGCGCUUGAAAAGAUGAGAAAAUGUCAGCAAUCUGCAAUAGGCAUAUCGAUAUGAUUAUUUUCAGUUGUCUAACAUUGAUCUGAUAAAGAUAUCAUCCAACUAUGGUUGGUUUUGCCUCUUUAUCUGCUCUCAAAUACUACCUUGUUUUUCUUCUCAUCAUAAUCCCACUUGUUACUUCAUUAUCCUUCAAUUUUGAUAGUUUUAAUCCCAAUGAUCAGAAUAUAACAUAUGAGAAAGAUGCUUAUUCAGCAAAUGGUGUGAUUCAACUCACCAAAAACCAACUUGAUCGUGGUUCAGACGUCAGCAUAGGUCGAGCCACAUAUUUCAAAUCGCUGCAUCUUUGGGACAAGGCCUCUGGAAAUCUCACAGAUUUCACUACUCACUUCUCCUUUAGCAUCAAUUCACAGGGCAGAACAGCUUAUGGUGAUGGUCUUGCCUUCUUCCUCGCGCCUGCAGGAUCAAGAAUUCCUGAGAACACAACCAUAGGUGGCAGCCUUGGCCUUACAAUUGAUACUCAGCAACUUAAUACAUCGAAUAAUCAUUUUGUUGCUGUGGAGUUUGACACCUUUAAGAACUGGUAUGAUCCACAAGGUGAUCAUGUAGGUGUUGAUAUCAACUCUAUGCAAUCUGUUGUUAAUUUGACCUGGUUUAGUAGCAUUACAAAUGGUAAGAGAACAGAUGCCUGGAUUAGCUAUAACUCAACCUCGAAAAAUCUUAGUGUUGUCUUCACUGGUUUCAAACUCCAAGGAAAUACCACUGUCACUGUCCAGCAAAGCCUAUCUCACAAUCUUGAUCUGAGAGAAUACUUGCCAGAAUGGGCCACUUUUGGCUUCACAGGUGCAACAGGAGGCCUCUUUGCAUUACAAAGCAUCUCCUCUUGGAAUUUUACUUCUUCUUUAGAAAUUAAUGACAACAUAACAGAUCCAGGGGUAGCCUUACCAAUCCCAAAGCCAGAGGAGACUCCAAGCAAAAGUAAGUUAGGACUUGUGAUUGGAUUGGUUUCUGGUGGUUGUGUUUUGGUUGCAGUAUCUGUUUUGGUGUUGUUUGUAUUUUGGAGAAAGAGGAAGUUGAGAGAAGAUGAAGAUGAUGAUGAUAGCUUUCAUGGUUCCAUGGCUGAUGAAUUUGAAAGAAGUACAGGACCAAAGAAGUUCCUCUACAGUGAGUUGGCUAGAUGUACAAAUAACUUUGCGGGGGAAGGGAAGCUU
This 2564-nucleotide long non-coding RNA is filed under the name Nicotiana tabacum (common tobacco). RNAcentral's name for it is "long non-coding RNA (NTAB_LNC010294)". Lineage: Eukaryota; Viridiplantae; Streptophyta; Magnoliopsida; Solanales; Solanaceae. The record is from RNAcentral.